Non-coding RNA from Schistosoma mattheei, 45 nucleotides. NCBI's taxonomy places the organism in Eukaryota, Metazoa, Platyhelminthes, Trematoda, Strigeidida, Schistosomatidae. The record is from Rfam.
AUCCAGCUGAAGAGUUCCAAAUAGGACGAGACGCCUGCUCUGGAU